This 481-nucleotide ribosomal RNA is filed under the name Cystomastax sp. BJS-2011. RNAcentral's name for it is "eukaryotic LSU rRNA". It matches the Rfam family "Eukaryotic large subunit ribosomal RNA", at positions 707 to 1129 of the family's 3401-position model. The record is from RNAcentral. Lineage: Eukaryota; Metazoa; Arthropoda; Insecta; Hymenoptera; Braconidae.
CCUAAAGGCGUAAUGAAAGUAAAGGUCGUCUUUACGUCGACCGAGGGAGGAUGAGUUAUGUUAUGAUAUAGCUCCGCACUCCCGGGGCGUCUCAUUCUUAUUAUAAGAAGAGGCGCACUUAGAGCGUACACGUUGGGACCCGAAAGAUGGUGAACUAUGCCUGGUCAGGACGAAGUCAGGGGAAACCCUGAUGGAGGUCCGUAGCGAUUCUGACGUGCAAAUCGAUCGUCGGAACUGGGUAUAGGGGCGAAAGACUAAUCGAACCAUCUAGUAGCUGGUUCCCUCCGAAGUUUCCCUCAGGAUAGCUGGCACUCGUGUAUUAAUGAAAAUUAUAAUUACGAGUCUCAUCUGGUAAAGCGAAUGAUUAGAGGCCUUGGGGCCGAAACGACCUCAACCUAUUCUCAAACUUUAAAUGGGUGAGAUCUCUGGCUUGCUUGAAUAUAUGAAGCCAUGAGAUUUAAUGGAUCAGAGUGCCAAGUGG